CAGGGCCGGGGACUGGGCUUCACUCAUGGAUGAUAAACAACAGCCGGAUUAGAACUGCUCCUGCACCUCCAACGUCUGCUGCCGAGGACAUCCAGAGCUGUUCCCAGGCCAGACCCCAGCUCACUGUUUCACGAAAGUGUGGGUGAUGGAGCAGGGCUGACAUGUGUCUCUAAGCUCCCAGGACCCAGCCCACAGCUGCUGAGGAAGCCACGCAGCCAGCUGUGUACGAGUGGGAGCGUCUUUGAAUACUUGAAAGUGCCUGUGGGCCCUUGCCUGUGUGCGUGCCUCUGUCCCCGCCUCCUGGCCGCUGAGCUGAGGGGAAGCUGAACAGGCCGAGGCUCACACCGCUGCCUCUGCUCCAGCUAGGAUGUGGCUCUUCCACAGUCUGCUCUACAUGACCAGCCUGGCUCCCCUGGAGGCCUUCAAUGUGGAUGUGGCCUGGGCCUGGGUGACUCCCGAGGGAGGCGCGCCUUACGUGCUCAGCUCCCUUCUGCACCAAGACACCAGCACCAACCAGACCUGGCUCCUGGUCACCAGCCCUAGAACAAACAGGACAGCAGAGCCCCUGCAUCGAUGUUCCCUCACCCAGGACGAGCUCUUUUGCCAACCAGUAGAGCAUGUCCCCAUCCCCAAGGGGAGGCACCGGGGAGUGACAGUUGUCGGAAACCACCACGGCGUUUUGAUCUGCAUCCAAGUGCUGGCUCGGCAACCCCACAGCCUCAGCUUGGAACUCACAGGCACCUGCAGCCUACUGGCCCCUGACCUCCGUCCCCAGGCCCAGGUCUCCUUCUCCGACCUUGAAAAUCUCCUGGAUCCUGAAGCACAUGUGGAUGCUGGAGACUGCUACAGGAGCAAAAAAGGCAGCACAGAGAACGCAGCCAGGCGACGCCGGGCUCUGAAGCCAGGUGACGAGGAGGAGGAAGAGGAGGAAGCAGCUGGCACUGAGAUCGCCAUCAUCCUGGAUGGCUCGGGAAGCAUUGAUCCCCCCGACUUCCAGAGAGCCAAGGACUUCAUCUCCAACAUGAUGAGGAACUUCUAUGAAAAGUGCUUUGAGUGCAGCUUUGCCCUGGUCCAGUACGGCGAAGUGAUCCAGACUGAGUUUGACCUUCAGGACAGCCAGGAUGUGAUGGCCUCCCUGGCCAGAGUCCAGAACAUCACUCAAGUGGGGAAUGUCACCAAGACUGCCUCUGCCAUGCAGCAUGUCCUAGACCACAUCUUCACGCCAAGCCACAGCUCCAGAAAAAAGGCAUCCAAGAUCAUGGUGGUGCUCACUGAUGGGGACAUAUUCGGAGACCCCCUCAACCUCACGACUGUCAUCAACUCCCCAAAGAUGCAAGGUGUUGAGCGCUUUGCCAUUGGGGUGGGAGAGGCAUUUCAGAAGGCUAAGACUGACAAGGAACUGAAGCUGAUCGCCUCGGACCCCGAUGAGACCCAUGCCUUCAAGGUGACCAACUACGCAGCACUGGAUGGGCUGCUGAGCAAACUGCAGCAGAACAUCAUUCCCAUGGAAGGCACGGUCGGAGAUGCCUUCCACUACCAGCUGGCACAGAUCGGGUUCAGUGCACAGAUCCUGGAUGAGGGGCAGCUGCUGCUGGGUGCCGUUGGGGCCUUUAACUGGUCAGGGGGCGCACUGCUCUAUGACAUGCAUGGUCGCCAGGGCCGCUUCCUGAACCAGACAGCGGCAGAUGCCAACGCUGCGCCAUUCAGCUACCUGGGUUACUCUGUGGCUGUUCUGCACAAGGCCUGUGGCCUCUCCUAUGUGGCGGGGGCUCCACGGCACAAGCAGCGAGGGGCCGUGUUUGAGCUCCAGAAGGAGGGCAGCGAGACCAACUUCAUGCCAGUGCUAGAAGGAGAGCAGAUGGGGUCCUAUUUUGGCUCUGAGCUGUGCCCUGUGGACAUUAACAUGGAUGGGACCACGGACUUCUUGCUGGUGGCUGCUCCGUUUUACCACGUUCAUGGAGAGGAAGGCAGAGUCUAUGUGUACCGUCUGAAUGAGCAGGAUGGUUCCUUCUCCUUGGCAUGCAUGCUGAGUGGGUACUCCGGGUUCACUGAGGCCCGAUUUGGCUUUGCCAUGGCGACAGUGGGGGAUAUCAAUCAGGAUGAGCUCACCGAUGUGGCCAUUGGGGCCCCCCUGGAGGGUUUGGGGUCAGAUGGUGGCACUAGCUUCGGCAGCGUGUACAUCUACAAUGGACGUCGGGAUGGCCUCUCCACCAGCCCCUCACAGCGGAUCAGAGCCUCGGCGGUGGCUGCAGGACUCCACUACUUCGGCAUGUCCAUGGCAGGUGGCUUAGAUUUCAGUGGCGACGGGCUUGCUGACAUCACCGUGGGUGCUCUGGGCCGGGCGGCCGUGUUCCGCUCAAGACCUGUGGUUCGCCUGAAGGUGUCCAUGACCUUCACCCCCGAGGCACUGCCCAUUGGCUUCAACAGUAGCGUGAAUGUGUGUUUGUGUUUUGAAAUCAGCUCUGUGACCACAGCUGCUGAGUCAGGCCUCAGAGAAUCAUCUCUGAACUUCACAUUGGAUGUGGACGUGGUGAAGCAGAGGAAGAGGCUGCAGUGUCCAGACAGGAGAACUUGUCAGAGCUACCUUAGGAAGUGGAGCAGCGAGUCCCGUCUUUGUGAGCCCCUCCUGCUCAUCCCCACAGAGGGAGAGCUGUGUGAGGAGGACUGCUUCUCCAACAUCAGUGUCAAGGUCAGCUACCAACUCCAGACCCCCGAGGGCCGGAGGGACCAUCCCCACCCUGUUCUGGACCUCUACACUGAACCCUCUGCCAUCUUCCAGCUGCCCUAUGAGAAGGCCUGCAGGAAUAAGCUGUUUUGCAUCGCUGAGCUACAGUUGGCCAUCACCACCUCUCAGCAGGAAUUGGUGGUGGGUCUCACAGAGGAGCUGACCAUGAACAUUAGCCUGAUUAACUCUGGGGAAGAUUCCUACAUGACAAGCAUGGCUUUGAAUUACCCCAGAAACUUACACUUUAAGAGGAUACAAAAGCCUCCUUCUCCAAACAUUCAGUGUGAUGACCCCCGGCCAGCUGCUUCUGUCCUGGUCAUGAACUGCAGGAUCGGUCAGCCUGUCCUCAAGAGGGCGUCUGCAAACUUUUCAGUAGUUUGGCAGCUAGAGGAGAAUGCCUUUCCAAACAGGACAGCCAACAUCACUGUGACAGUCACCAAUUCCAAUGAAGGGAGGUCCUCGGUCAGGGAGACCCACAGCCUUCAAUUCAGGCGCGCCUUCAUUGCAGUUCUUCCCAAACCAUCAGUGAUGUACAUGAACACAAGCCGGGGACUUUCUGACCACAAAGAAUUCCUCUUCAAUAUACAUGGGGAAAAUCGUUUUGGAGCCAAAUUUCAGCUGCAAAUUUGUGUUCCCAUCAAAUUACAAGGUAUCCAGCUUGUAAGAGUGAAGAACGUGACAAAGACUCAGGCUUACACUGUGUGCAGCCAGAGUCAGCAGGGCGCUUGUGGGAGCGAUCCGGUUCAGAGUGUGGAGGAAUGGCAUUCAGUAAGCUGUGCCAUCACUUCGGAUAAAGAAAAUGUCACUGUGGCUGCAGAGCUCUUCUUGAGUCAAUCCGAGCAGGUCACUGUCAUCUUCCUGAAAGAUGAGGAGUAUUACUCCUUGCCUGUCGUCAUCGGAAGCAGUGUUGGUGGCCUUCUGGUUUUGAUUGUGAUUAUAGUCGUCCUAUUCAAGAAAGAAGAGGUGUGGUGAACAUCUUUAAACAUGGAUCCUUCCUGGCGUGCUUUUCAAGUGUGCUCUUGGUUAAGUUCCGAGCACAAUUACUGGGCCAAAGAACUGGUGGAGCUCUGAGAAGGUACCUCUGUGCCUGAUGUCACUGGGAUUGCCCUGCGUGCUCUCUGCUGCAGCUGCACGCCUGCCUGUGGUCCUGCCCUGCCACCCUGCUUUGGGCAGUGUCUGGGGCUUGGUUGGAGAGCCCGUCCUUGUCUCCUGGAGUCCCUCAUGUACCUCUGUUAAAUUCCCAGGCUGCUUGGCGUGACCAGCUUUCCCCUUGAUCUGAUUGCAUCUGCUUCAUUUCUUUCAGGAAUUCCUUUGUAAGUUUGGUUCUGUUUCCAGGGCUGACACAGGCUUUCUCCCGCUUUCUGUUUCUUGGGUUGUCUCAGUGGGAUGUGUUUUUGAAGGAAAAGAAAGAGGUAAGUUUGCUUAGCUCUUUCCCUGCUGUUGGGCUCAGGAGUUGUGUCCAAGUUUUCAAUGUUACAGGUGACGUGGAGCCCCUGUUUUUAUACUUUUUUAUUGCAAAUAAGACCCCACUCCCAUUGUAACAGUCAGGGCUUAUGUUGAGCACCUGUGAGCAUCUGGCUGACUAAGCAGUGCUGAUCUGACUGGCAUUGGACCCGCACAGCAGCAGUCAGGAGACUACAGAUGGGAGUGGUUGGCGAGGAGGCAGAGCCUUGAAAUGGAGACCAAGUCGCCUGCUGUGGCUUGGGCCAAGGCCUUCUCUUUCUUCUAAAAGAUGCCUUUCUAGUCCUAGGCCUUUCCUGUUUGCUGUCACCCUCCUCUGCCUGGGAACAGGAAGUGUCAAAGCUUGCAUAGAUUCAGAACAGUGGGUCAUGGCCACUGUCCUGGUGAGAGAAGGACCACUAUGGGGCCAGCUGGGCACUAGUAUUGGGAUAAAAGCCCCUGUGGUUUCUGUUUUCCUUUCUCCUGUUACACGUAGGCUGGUGAGUGCAGAUUUCAGCAACUUUUUCUCUUGUGAUCACAUCUGAACUCUGGGGUUUGGUUGUUGGAGGGGUGAAAUCAAGCAGAUGUGAAGACCUAAGUCUGUCAAACUUUGCAGGCCUAAUUAGAUUUUGAGAAAGGGGUACUUCCUGUGGCUGAGCCCAGGAGGCUUAUGAUCUGCACUGGUGUAUUAUUCUAUGCACAUCUUCUCUAAUACCCUUACGAGGAGGGGUAUUUGGUUAAGAUCAGGGUUUAGGUAUUUUUGGGUCUCCUAACCAUGCUUAUAACCUUGUAAUAGUGCCAGAAUUGUACAUUCCUUUAAGAACAGAUUUAGGAAACUGAGUCAAGGAAACAGUUAAUCUCUUCAGGAAGAGUAGUUGUUCUAACAUCAGAGCUCAGGAGGUAGCUGGAUGCACCUCAAUAGACAAUUCCCAACUUCAGUUGACUUGAUUUUUUUUUGAUUAGUGGGAGAACAUUUUGAAAAGUACAUAAGUAAUACAUGGAUACACUCAUAGUAAAAUCAGAGUAAAAGGGGAGAAUUUGCCUUUGUUACAGCCUUGCCCCACCCUGUGCCCCCCUUAGAAGCUGGGUGAACUGGUUCAGCAUGUACUCUUCCAGGCCGCCAUAUUCUGUGCCCUUGUAAAUCUUCACGUGUACAAAUACAGUAUAUAGAUUUUAAGGUUUUGUUUGUUUUACAUAAAUAGCAUCAUAUAUUCUUCCAUUUGUAAUAAUUGGUGACCAUUUUCAAGAAACUAGUGUCAGAGACAAAUGCUGCUGCCAAAUGCAGGGUAUGUGGGGGUGGAGACGACACCUUGGGUCAACAUGUCUUUGGGGAGUUAAUAAAUUUGUAUAGCUUUUUACAAUUUGUCAAGAUGCCCUUUCAGCUUUUUCCAAAAGUGGAAUUAAAGGCAUUUUUGUAAUUGUCGUACCAUGCCAAAUAACUUUCCAGAAGGACUGAGCCACGUUACGUGGUUAUCAGCAACAUGAAUGUAUCCUGGGGUCUCCAUCUUUAGUUAGCUUGUUUCCUUGCUGGGUACAUAAUGAUACCUUUAGUUUACUUUUCCUUGAUUGUUGGCAAGACGAUGUAUUCUCCUAUGAAACAAGAUGACAUUUUUCCCCCUCUAUGCUUUAUUUUUUCUUUCUUGUCCAGUUAAAAUGCGGCCCUGGCAUUUUCUCAUUAGCCCUUUCUGAACUGCAUCAGCUUCUGGGAUAGAAAUAAGAGGUUCAUUUCUCCCUCUGAACUUCGGAGCCUCUGGGCGAAUAAGGGUGAUUUGACCCAGAAUUAGAGAGCAGUGUGCCCUCCGGAAUAGGGGAACUAAGUGGUGCUGAUCUGCUGGUGGGCGAUAGGAGGCAGUAGUCAUUGUUAGUGGCCUGUCUAAUGGAGGAGCUCCAUCUGAGUGCUACAGAGAAGCCAGGACCACAGCAUCAGCCCCCAGGAGAGAGAGCUGGAGGCUCUGCGUCUCCCUCUCCCCUCUCCCUGAGGGAGGAUUCUGGGUCUGGUUGGUCAACUCCUAGGACCCUCUUGCUGGUUGCAGUCCAGGGCGGAGUGAUGGGGCUGCAGGUAGGCAGGGGCAGGUUGAAGGUGUGGCCUCCGUGGAUGCCUCCUCUUCUGUCCAGGGCCUGGGAAGGAGCCUGGACCAGCCCUGCCACAGCACUGGCAGGUAUUCUUGGACUCUUGGCCUUGGUUUCCCGGGUUUGACUAGUGUGCUACCCUGAGGUAGUCUUUCUAUUCUUUAGAGCUGUGAGGUCUGAGAUUAAGGUUGGACUGCUGGGGUGGAAGAAAACACUCCUGGCCCACUUUGUUUCUGCAGACCUUUUAGAUUUCCUAGUCUGGACAAAGCCUGCCAGCCUCACUGCUGGAGUUCUACGCUGGGGCUGGGGGUCCUUUGCCUCCUGGGUGAAGAGCUCGCUGAGGGGAUGGCUAGCUGGCUAAGGACCCUAGCACCCCUAGGCCGGGGGUUCUAACUUUUUCGUGUUCCACAGCCCCCUCUGGCAGUCUGGUGAAGCCUAGGGACCCCUUCUCACAUUUUUUUCCCCAACGCUGUUAUGAAAAGGUUCAAACAUUUAGAAAGAUUGUAUUUUACAAUUGUGAACACGUAUCUACCCGCCACUUAGUUUCUACCAUUAACAUUUUAUUAUGCUUGCCUUAUCACAUAUUUUUCCACCCACCCAUCCAUCAGCUUGUUUUUAGAUACAUAAAAGUUUAUAAAGAACCAAUUAUAUUGAACUACAGUGAUUGGGAUAUUUUUCAAAAUUUAUGAUGUGGAGGUACAUGUGCUUCUUUAUCAAUGCAUUAAAGCAGCAGAUCUGAUAACUACCCUACUUUCAAAGUAAUGAUGAGCUUACAAUGUAUUUUGAGAUUUUUGCGAUAGCUGGCAUGUGAGGGGAAAGUAUCUGCAGUUUCUACUGGUGUCAAGAUGCAGGUACUGCUGAUGCUACUGUGGCUUUUGCAUACGCUCAGGAUUGAAGGAGAUGUUAAAUUUCAGUUGAAGGGUGGUACGAUAAAUAGGUAACCUGUUUUCCAUCCAGCUUCACAGAUCUCCUCCUGUGUGUACUCUGGUCCCUUUAACAAGCGUGGUCCCACGCUGGGCUUGUCCCUGAGCAGCCAGUCUUCAUGAUCCCUCUGUUCCUGGAGGAGGAAACAACUUGCCCGAGGCCACAGGGCUAGUGUAAGGCAGAGCCAUUGUCCCACUAGCAGGUUUUUGGAUCUCCAGGUCUAAUAUUUUUUCCACAAAAGCUUUAUUACAGACUGGGCAAGGCACAGGUGACACCCCGGUGAGCGGCUGGUUUCAGACUUUGCUGGGCAGCUCGUCAGCCUCCUUGCCCCACCUGCUAAAGGCUCUGAUGCUCCGCCCGGCUUGGGCCUGGGCAUCUGCUGUUUUGACAAGCCCUUCCAGGUGAUGCAAGAGCCACACCCUGUGAGAUGCUAGUUAUGAGAUCAGACUUUGUUCGUCUGAUUCCACUUUGUCCAUGCGAGCUCUCAGCACACACUUGGAGUCUUGAUGACUCAUAAGUUGCUUCAGGAGACAAAUUUAACUUAAUGCUCUGGUAGAAUUAUCUCUGGUGAAAUCUUCUAUGAAUAUAUACUCCAAAAAAAAGGCUUAGUCACUCUACCCGAGACACUUCAAAUAUGCAGGCUAAUGGGCAGAGGCAGGGUGAUCAGGAGUCAGCCUUCCCUCCCUGCUUCCCCAUCCUCCUGAAGUAGGAUGACACCCGCCUCACAUGGGCCGUGUGGUACCAAAAGCGGUAAAGCCCUUUCCUGCCCUCAGCCCUAGACGACAGGUAAGGGAUAUACUCAACUGUGACUCCGUAAAUCAAACAGAUCCUGUCCUUUGGGAAUUUAGAGGAGAGGGAUCCAGGAGGCCGUAGGGAAGGAGACACACAGACACCUGUACGCUGAGCCUUGAAGCCAUGGAGGAGUGCGGGGAGGCCGGCCUGGGUGGAGGCACGGAGGUUGGCAAGUGAAGGAUGUGGUAAAGCAUGUUAGUCCAUUUGGCUGAAGCUGAGUGUGCGUAACGGGGCAUGUGAGGCCAGAAAGUCAGGAGGGGACAGUGACUGCAAUAAGCAAUGAGAGUCUGCGGAAGAAUUGUGUACAGGAAACGAAGGGAAGCCACAGCCACUCCCGGUGUCUUAUACAAGCAGUUCCUACUCGUUCUCGUUUUGUUGCCACUGCAGUCCUGUGAACUUAGAGCGGAGGGGAGGGGAUGGACGUGAGUCGCGAGGGCUCUGGGGAGACCACUGCAGGGAGCGGGAGGAAGAGCAAGAUGAGCUUUGCUCUAAGACGUCGUGUUAGAGUCGUCGCUGCCUUGUGAGUUUGGUUGACUUGAGUUUGCAUCUUUACCCGUUUUGGUGCCUAGUGAACCAGCAUUUGGCUCUUUACUCUUUUUAUGUGUUUGAGACCUCAGCGGGGUUUUUCCCUGGGUCAGAUUUUGACAACUAAGGAACGAGUAACAGCCCCUCAGUGAAGCUGGGUCAGGGAGCAGCGGAUGGACUCAGAAAGCCUCCCCACAGCGGGGGACACGCCCUCUACCUUUUUCCUGUUGACUAUUUGAAAUGACAUGAAUAAUGCAUCUGCUACUUCUUAAAUGGACCAGAAAUGUCUAUUCAUGAAAUGUGUUUAACAUAGCAGGACUGCCAGACUGAAAGGAAAAUUAAAGGAUAAAUUGCUUUGUGGGGCCCUGUGUGAAACCCUUCCCACACCCCGCCCUUCCCGCUCCUGUCCCUCCCGGCCAUCCAGGAUACUCAGGAUACUCAGGACUCGGAGGGAAGGCCCUCCUCAUCUUGCGAUGGCUCCUUUUGUGCCCUGGGACAGAUUUAGACCUCCUACCGCUAGGCCUUGCAUGAGCGCUCCUCUCCUGUGGGGUGGGAACUAGAACUGCAUUCCUAUAUGUGAGUAAUGUGUGAACCUCUACUCCAAGAACCAUACUAUUUUAUGGCA
Molecule: RNA transcript, 9101 nt
Organism: Equus caballus (horse)
Lineage: Eukaryota; Metazoa; Chordata; Mammalia; Perissodactyla; Equidae
Gene: ITGAE
Gene name: integrin subunit alpha E
Source: RefSeq, a predicted model, not a curated record